Molecule: long non-coding RNA, 876 nt
Filed under: Limulus polyphemus (Atlantic horseshoe crab)
Lineage: Eukaryota; Metazoa; Arthropoda; Merostomata; Xiphosura; Limulidae
Description: uncharacterized LOC111087122, transcript variant X3
Source: RNAcentral
UGUGAAAGAACAUAAGACCAGUAAUGGCUGUUGGGUAGAUGAGAAGAUAUACCACUAAAACUUCAAGAAUGUCGAAUCAUAAACUUCAAAGUAUAGCCCCUCACCUCCAUCAGGACUAGCUAAACCUCAGAAGACUUCAUACUGAAAUUUGAAAAUGAAAUAACUGUCAAGUUUUAUGUUUGAUUCGUUGAAACUUUAAAAAGUAUUUUGUCGGUGCAAAAAAUUAUAUAGUUAAUUUCUAAAUUCUAGGACCAUAGGUGUACGGAGACAUUUUGCAGCUUAUAUAACUAAUGAAACUACUAGAAGUACUAAGCAUCUUUGACUUUUUGGAGUAUAACACAAUAAAAAGUGAACACCUAGAAACAGUUAAUACCAGAAGGAUUAAGUACUUUGGACAUAUGGGUACAUGCAUCUCAAAGCAACAUGCUUAGAAAGAUUAACCUGGAAGUUAUGAUACUAGAAGGUGUUCCUUUGAAAGGCAGAAGGUUCAGUGAAGGGACAUGAAAAAUCUUCUGUUGUGACUAAGGUUUUCUAGAUAAUGCCACUGGACACUGACGAACAUGUGAAAGUGAUUUUGGAUUCAUUGUCUUCAUCAGGACCUCAUUUGUAUAAGUUUUGGAUUUAUCCCACUCACUGGAGUUCUCAUGCUUGCUGUAAAAAAACAAAAUGGAGAUGGAAAAUUAGACAGUUGGUUGUUGACAUGAUAUAGUCAUUACCAGCUUUUUGAUUGCUGUACUUACUUCACAAAGUAUGUUCCAAGAGAAUUUCUUGAUAUUGAAUGUCUAAAACUUAAUUAUUAGUAUUGAUAACUCGUGUAAAUAAUUCAUUGUUAUAUGUACUAUUCAUAAGAAGGAUAUUAAAGUACAGCUAAACUCA